UCCCCGAUGUAUGUUUUUCUGCAUGAUUUACACGGUAUUUCGUAUAUGACGUUGCAUUUGUUGUCCGGUGCUAUUUUGUCUUUCGGGUUCACAAGAACAGAAAGCG
Myripristis murdjan (pinecone soldierfish) is the source of this 106-nucleotide long non-coding RNA. RefSeq lists it as uncharacterized. Lineage: Eukaryota; Metazoa; Chordata; Actinopteri; Holocentriformes; Holocentridae. The transcript is spliced from 3 exons. The record is from RefSeq and is a predicted model, not a curated record.